Long non-coding RNA from Plodia interpunctella (Indianmeal moth), 267 nucleotides. RefSeq lists it as uncharacterized. The record is from RefSeq and is a predicted model, not a curated record. The transcript has 3 exons. NCBI's taxonomy places the organism in Eukaryota, Metazoa, Arthropoda, Insecta, Lepidoptera, Pyralidae.
UGGAAACCCGCCUUUAUUUUUAUGAAGACCCUACCAUAAAACAAGUUUUACUGGACGGAGUCACUUUUAGUUUGCAUUUAAAUGCGAGGAUGUGUAGUUUUAUUGUCAUAUUUAUAUUCUGUGCCGUAGCAGAUAAAUGUAUUUUUGCGAGAAAAAAUGCAAGAAAUAAAACGGCAAACUUUUGAAGUCGAGAAUAGAUGGACAUGGGGUUACUACGAAGAAACUAAUAUCAGAUUUUAAAUCUUGGACUAGUCAGGUUGAAACUAG